CCUGGUGGGGCUGAAAUGGACCGGGCAGCCCUUGGAUGGUUUCCCCAGAGGAGUCUGUGCGAGGCCACAGCAGGAUCCAGCGAUGGCCCGGGCCCGGGGCUCUCAGCCCCGCGCUCCACCUCAUCGGCCACUUUGCGGAGGGUCCUUAGGCCCCAGUGCAGGCCUGCACAAACAUCAGGGCACUGUGACUCCAUCAGGCCUUGCUCAGGGCCUGCUCCCAAGAGGCUCAGCUCGGCGGAACAAAAUCAGCCAGACUUGCUGAUGGCCACCACCACAACCACUUCCUCUGCGAGUCCUGCGUCUUCCUACUCAGCUCUGUCUCCCAGCCGGCACCACUCCAUCCGUCCCGCGUUCUCUCCGCAACGCCAUUGAGUCACGGGCUACAUCUCCCUCACUCCAGCGGCUUGCCACAUUUUUACUGAGUUCUUUUUAUUUUUUGUUCGUUUCAUUUGAAAGGGAAGAGAGAGAGAGAGAGAGAGAGAGAGAGAGAGAGAGAGAGAGAGAGAUGGAGAAAUAGCCUUCAUUCACUGGUUCACUCUCCAAAUGGCUACAACACCCAGGGUGGGCCAGGCUGAAGCCAGGAGCCUGGAGCUCCAUCCAGAUCUCCCAGAUGGGUAGGAGAAGCCCAAGGACUUAAGUCAUCAUCACCUUCUGCCGCCGCAGGGUGCAUGUUAACAGGAAGCUGGAAUGAGGAGUGGAGCUAGGAUGUGAACCCAGGCCCUCCAGUAUCGGCUGCGGGUGUCCCAGGUGAGAACUUCACUGCACCAGCUACCCACCUCUCCCUCACUCCAGUAUCUUGCCACCACACACCGGUCCUCACCAUCCUGUCCACCUGCCCCCCUGUCCCAGGUGUCUGUCUGUCCCCCUUGCAGCCAGCCUCAUUCUUGGGCUCUGGGUCCCAGCAACUUAAGCUCAAGGUCAGCUUGCCCAUUGGAGUUUUUGCAAUCGUGGGACUUUUUCGUAUCGGUGCUUUCCAGAAGAGUACCCACUUGCUACCUGUGGCUAUUGAGCACUUAAAAUGGCUAGCAAGACCAAGGAACGGAAUUAUUUGGUUCUAUCUC
This 1061-nucleotide long non-coding RNA is filed under the name Oryctolagus cuniculus (rabbit). RNAcentral describes it as "lncRNA (ENSOCUG00000038902.1)". Lineage: Eukaryota; Metazoa; Chordata; Mammalia; Lagomorpha; Leporidae. The record is from RNAcentral.